UACGGGGGGGGCAAGCGUUGUUCGGAAUUACUGGGCGUAAAGGGCUCGUAGGCGGCCAACUAAGUCAGACGUGAAAUCCUGGAGCUCAACUCCAGAACUGCCUUUGAUACUGAAGAUCUUGAGUCCGGGAGAGGUGAGUGGAACUGCGAGUGUAGAGGUGAAAUUCGUAGAUAUUCGCAAGAACACCAGUGGCGAAGGCGGCUCACUGGCCCGGUACUGACGCUGAGGCACGAAAGCGUGGGGAGCAAACAGG
RNAcentral lists this ribosomal RNA (253 nucleotides) under uncultured bacterium. RNAcentral describes it as "partial 16S ribosomal RNA". It matches the Rfam family "Bacterial small subunit ribosomal RNA", at positions 524 to 776 of the family's 1533-position model. The record is from RNAcentral.